Nothoprocta perdicaria is the source of this 1979-nucleotide RNA transcript. It is a transcript of the gene named actin-binding Rho-activating protein-like, with no coding region annotated. The record is from RefSeq and is a predicted model, not a curated record. The transcript has 3 exons. Lineage: Eukaryota; Metazoa; Chordata; Aves; Tinamiformes; Tinamidae.
UAUCCCUUCCAUUCCGGCAAGCUCUGGUGAGCUCUUGGCGCUUGCUUGUCCUGGAUGCCGACUCGUCCCUCCAUGUGCAGUGCGGUCGCUGCCGGCUCGCGGGCGGUCAGUGCUGCCCUUCCCGUGCACUGGGCGAGGACGCGUGCGGAUCCCCCAUGGAGCGACUCGUAAGUGUCGUGAUGUGUGGGACCUGGCAAGCACAGCUUUGUUUUGUCCACCUUUAAUGAGUGCAYGGGCGAGGGAAGAGCUGCCCACCCCUCUCUCGGGAUUGGCGCACCGGCUCCUUGGGAAUGGUCGGCUCGCUCCCUCCUCCUUAAGCCUGGACUGAACAGGUCAAGCAACGCUGGAUGAGAUUAUCUGGAAAGUGUACUGGGCUGCAAAAGAAGGAUAAAGUUCUUUAAGAGGCGUCACUGCAUGAAAACUGACAGAGCACACGGCCAUACUGCCCACCCCUCGGCUCCUGCUCCAGCGCCACAGAAGGCUCUCAGGGAAUGGAGGAGGAUAAAGGGCAGAGCGCUAAAGCCGCCAGCGCCGUGGGCGACCUAAGGAGGAGCUGGCAGACUUGGGCAGAGGACCACGUUGAGUACCAGAGGAAGAAUCCCUUCAGCAGCGACGAGAGGCUUGCAGCCAGGCCUGUGCACAGCCCCCACGGAGACCCUUCCUACGGCAGACCCCCGGAAGGGUCCAAGACGGAGCAGAGGGGAAGAGACGCCCACUCGCACGUGGGCAGGGAGGUGGAGGAGCUCUGCGGCAUCAUAAGGAGCACCGGGGAGAAGGGAGAGGACGGACACGUGAGCGUGACGUUCCGGCAGCUCUUUGAGACGUACGUGACUAUUUCCAACAAGGUGGUGGGGAUCUUGCUGCGGGCCAGAAAGCACGGCCUGGUUCAUUUUGAAGGUGAAAUGCUUUGGCAAGGAAAGGAUGAUGAUGUGAUCAUCACUUUGCUAGAAUAAGGCUUUGCCACGUGGUGAAUUCUGCUUCGUGUUCCCAUUUGGAAAGAACCUCUCUAGAUACCAUCUUGAAAGAGAUCUUCAUUACAGAAUUCCAACUCWGCGAAUUAAUGGGACAUGAGUACAAGAGAAAAUUGGUAAGAAGGAUGAAAGGUGUUUUCAUAAAAAUGGUAGAUAUUGGGGACAGGAGUCACAAGCUGUUAGCUAGUCUGUUACUCUGCCAGUGGUCCGUCCUUUCAUCAUUAUGAUCCAUCACAUGUGGUUCUUUAAAUGUCGCUGUGGGUUUAUUGCUUUAGGUAGCUGAAAGCUUAAAAUACUAAUUUGCUACCAUACAACACUAAUCCUUGCAGGCUACGAAAUACUCACUGUGUGGAGGAUUUUUAUGGUAAAACACAGAAUUUAAGUAUUUCUGUAGGAAAUAUACUUCAUAUACUUCUAGAAAGAGCUUGAGCUAUAGCAAAAGCUUAAUUAUUUUCACGUAGUGAAGUUAAAUAACUGAACGUUUUACUGACUCUCAGUAAGUAUGUGAAGAUUCCCAAGCUUACAGAAAUAUCACUCACUUAGGGAUCUAUAAAAUAUACAACGAGGGUACUACCUGGUUCCUCAUCUGUUUGCAUCUUUCGUGUAUUCUGUAGACUGCACUAGUCCUGGUGUUCAGCAGCCUACUCUGACCAUCGUAUCUUCUGCAGAGCUUUCAAGUAUCCCUUGUUCUUCUUCCUCUUUGUAUCUCACUGUUUUCACCUGUUCUGUUCUUCUAAUGCUACCUCAUCCUCUAGAAGUUCAGAAAGUUUGGCAAUCUUUGGGGGCAAUUUCAUUCUGCUGCUCCUUAGAAAGUAGAGUGCCACAACGCAGAGAAGUGAAAAAGAAUGGAAAUGGUGUGUUAGUGAAAGGAGAAAGACAAAACCUUUCACUUCUUCCAGCAAAACCCAGCAGUGCUGUUCACAGCAGGAGGGUAGAGAUUCUAGAGUGCCAAACGCAUGAAGAAAAACACAGCAGUGAAGUCGCUGACCUCACUUGGUCAGGCCGAGC